This is a non-coding RNA of Triticum aestivum (bread wheat), 135 nucleotides long. The record is from Rfam. NCBI's taxonomy places the organism in Eukaryota, Viridiplantae, Streptophyta, Magnoliopsida, Poales, Poaceae.
AAACUACCUUCUCCGUUCGAAAAUGCUUGUCAUCGAAAUGGACAAAAAGGGAUGUAUCUAGAACUAAAAUACAUCUAGAUACAUCCCCUUUUAUUCAUUUUGAUGACAAGUAUUUCCGGAUGGAGGGAUUACCUA